CCUUGACUCCUAUUCCCGCCUAAUUAGCUGCCUCAUUGCCCAAACAGUACUUUAUUUAUCAUCAAAUAAGACAAACAUAUACACAGAAGCUCUUCCCUCAUGACUAUUGUGUUUGUGAAGUCACCCUGAGCCUUAGGUCAGAGGGCAGUAACAAGGGAGUCCUCCUAUCAGUGCUGAGGAUAAACUAAGUUUGAUCCCUGUCCCUGCUUUAGAGCUACAGCAAUGUGAGGCAGCAAUGAUUCCAUUUGGCCAUGAGAGGGCAGUGUAGGGCAGAGCAUCCUCAGAACUCAGGCACUCAAGAGCUGUUUGCUCAAUCAACUUUUUGACAUUCUGUGAGAUUUUUCCCCCUGCCCUCUGGGAGGUGGGCGAGAAAACCUGCUAGAAGACCCUUCUGCAAGCAAGGUCUCUGAAACCAGGACUCCCCCGGUCUACGAGGUCCCAGAUUCGGCAGCUCCUCUGUGCCUGGAGGUGGUGGGAGAGGAAGCUGAGGCCUGGGGUGUGUUGGGACAAGUCCGACAGGGUUGGGAGCUCAGGAUGGCUGGUGGGUGGAGUAUCUUGAGGUGGGCAGCGCCAAGCAGGAGGUCUGGGGCCCAUAUUUCGGUGUCUGCACUUGUCACUGACAGCCUCCCACUAGCCGGGGCCUCUUUCCCAUCCCGUCUGCUGGAAACGGAAUGAAGGAGGAAGCAUGCCAGAGUCACUAAGUGCAACCCAGGCAGCAGAGUCUGAGUCCAACGAACAGGUUUGCUAACUUUGAGCAUCCUGGUAAGCUUUAGAAAAUGCAGAUGCCCGUGCCUCGCUGAGUUCUCCAGAUAAAACCUUUGGAGAACAGACCAUCAAGAAAUCUGCUUUCAGUCUUCUGAGGACAACAGGAAUGAGGAAGAGGGUGGGGUAGGCCCUUCCCAGGUACCUGGCGAUGCUGGGCAGUUUCAGUUUACCAUCUGGGAAACUGGAAGAUGACUUCGGCAGAUUUUCAUUGCAGCAAAAUACACUGGCAUCGAAUGGGUUGAUAUGACAAGGCUUCAAAAGGAAGAAGAAAAUGGCUAUGCAAAUUCAAGGUAGAUCUGCAUUAUACAACCUAAAAAUAUCCACAGAUUCCAG
RNAcentral lists this long non-coding RNA (1098 nucleotides) under Cricetulus griseus (Chinese hamster). RNAcentral describes it as "lncRNA (ENSCGRG00015040007.1)". The record is from RNAcentral. Lineage: Eukaryota; Metazoa; Chordata; Mammalia; Rodentia; Cricetidae.